AUGAAGUUCGGGAAGAGGCUCAAGAGGCAGGUGGAGGAGAGCCUCCCUGGGUGGAGGGACCAGUUCCUGGCGUACAAGCGCCUCAAGGUUCUCGUCCGACUCGUCUCCGGCUCCUCGCCUCACCGUGCCGCGGCGGAGGCUGCUUUCGCGCGGCUCCUCAACGACGAGGUCGACAGGUUCAACUCCUUCUUCCUCGAGCAGGAGGAAGAGUUCAUCAUCCGCCACAGGGAAGUAAGGGAGACGGUGAAGGCAGUGGCCGGCAAGGAGCUGUCGGAGGCGGAGUGUGCGACCCAGAUGAGGAAGGUGAGGAGAGAGAUCGUGGAUUUGCACGGUGAAAUGGUGCUGCUCCUCAACUACAGCGCCGUCAACUACACAGGAGAGCUAGGGCUACGGCAACCACACGACAAGCAUACGGGGCGGCUAUUCCGGCUGCCCUUCAUCGAGGAGAUGCUCAAGCAGCCCUUCUACACGACGGAGCUCAUGUCGAGGCUCGUCCGCGAAUGCGAGGAGAGCAUGGAGGCCGUGUUCGCCUCCGACAACAGUACUAACCCGUGCACGAGGAAGCGCUGCACCGACAAUGAGAUGACUUCCAUGUCAACAGAGCAGGGAAUCCUUAGGAACACCGUCGCGGCACUGGUGGCCAUGAGGGAGCUCCGCAGCGGAAGCUCCACGUACGGGCACUUCUCGCUACCACCCUUGGCAACGGAGGCCACCUUGACGGAGCAUGUGUCCAUCCACGUUGCCGAUCUCCUUCAAUCUGAGGCACGUGGUGUUGUUCGGCUUGUUUGA
RNAcentral lists this ribosomal RNA (789 nucleotides) under Triticum aestivum (bread wheat). Its description in RNAcentral is "partial small subunit ribosomal RNA". The record is from RNAcentral. Lineage: Eukaryota; Viridiplantae; Streptophyta; Magnoliopsida; Poales; Poaceae.